GACAUCCAGCGAACUUAGCAGAGAUGCUUUGGUGCCUUCGGGAACGCUGAGACAGGUGCUGCAUGGCUGUCGUCAGCUCGUGUUGUGAAAUGUUGGGUUAAGUCCCGCAACGAGCGCAACCCUUAUCCUUUGUUGCCAGCGAUUCGGUCGGGAACUCAAAGGAGACUGCCGGUGAUAAACCGGAGGAAGGUGGGGAUGACGUCAAGUCAUCAUGGCCCUUACGAGUAGGGCUACACACGUGCUACAAUGGCGCAUACAAAGAGAAGCGACCUCGCGAGAGCAAGCGGACCUCAGAAAGUGCGUCGUAGUCCGGAUCGGAGUCUGCAACUCGACUCCGUGAAGUCGGAAUCGCUAGUAAUCGUGGAUCAGAAUGCCACGGUGAAUACGUUCCCGGGCCUUGUACACACCGCCCGUCACACCAUGGGAGUGGGUUGCAAAAGAAGUAGGUAGCUUAACCUUCGGGAGGGCGCUUACCACUUUGUGAUUCAUGACUGGGGUGAAGUCGUAACAAGGUAACCGUAGGGGAACCUGCGGUUGGAUCACCUCCUUA
This 550-nucleotide ribosomal RNA is filed under the name Pantoea agglomerans pv. gypsophilae. RNAcentral describes it as "bacterial SSU rRNA". It matches the Rfam family "Bacterial small subunit ribosomal RNA", at positions 983 to 1533 of the family's 1533-position model. The record is from RNAcentral. Lineage: Bacteria; Pseudomonadati; Pseudomonadota; Gammaproteobacteria; Enterobacterales; Erwiniaceae.